GGUGAAGCAGGAUUCUGCAUCGCCUCAAGGAUUUCCCUCUUCGGAGAAAGUGAGGACUGCAGAUGCUGGAGAUCAGAGCUUAAAAAUAUGUUGCUGGAAAAGCUCAGCAAGUCAGACAGCAUCCGGGAACAGGAGAAUCGACGUUUCGGACAUGAGCCCUUCUUCAGGAAAAUUGUGAAUUUGCAGAGCAUACUUGGACACUUAUAACCUAGUCAGGAUGGUUUGUAACACUUUAAGUGUUUACAAUACUGUACCUGAUUUGCUUCUUAUUCUGAUCUGUCAUUAAAAGCCAAGGAUUGA
This is a long non-coding RNA of Hemiscyllium ocellatum (epaulette shark), 300 nucleotides long. RefSeq lists it as uncharacterized. The record is from RefSeq and is a predicted model, not a curated record. NCBI's taxonomy places the organism in Eukaryota, Metazoa, Chordata, Chondrichthyes, Orectolobiformes, Hemiscylliidae. The transcript is spliced from 2 exons.